RNAcentral lists this ribosomal RNA (225 nucleotides) under uncultured bacterium. RNAcentral's name for it is "partial 16S ribosomal RNA". It matches the Rfam family "Bacterial small subunit ribosomal RNA", at positions 15 to 231 of the family's 1533-position model. The record is from RNAcentral.
GAUCAUGGCUCAGGAUGAACGCUAGCCACAGGCUUAACACAUGCAAGUCGAGGGGCAGCAUGGUCUUAGCUUGCUAAGGCCGAUGGCGACCGGCGCACGGGUGAGUAACACGUAUCCAACCUGCCGUCUACUCUUGGACAGCCUUCUGAAAGGAAGAUUAAUACAAGAUGGCAUCAUGAGUCCACAUGUUCACAUGAUUAAAGGUACUCCGGUAGACGAUGGGGA